This 138-nucleotide ribosomal RNA is filed under the name uncultured eukaryote. RNAcentral describes it as "partial 18S ribosomal RNA". It matches the Rfam family "Eukaryotic small subunit ribosomal RNA", at positions 1299 to 1458 of the family's 1831-position model. The record is from RNAcentral.
UCGUGGAGCGAUUUGUCUGGUUUAUUCCGAUAACGAGCGAGACUCUAGCCUGCUAAAUAGUUGAGGCAUUCCUUGUGUGUGCCCACAACUUCUUAGAGGGAUUUUCGGCGUUCAGCCGCACGACAUUGAGCAAUAACA